GGCGAUGCAGCGCCGGCUGGUGUUCCUUGCAGCCUCCACGCAUCCGGGUGAGGACGAAAUCAUUCUCGAUGCGCACCGGCGUCUGGCAGCGCGGAUGCCGCAAUUGCUGAGCGUGAUCGUGCCGCGUCAUCCCAAUCGCGGCGCGGCCAUCGCGCGGAUGCUGACGGAUGGCGGCAUGCAGGUGGCCCUGCGCUCGCAGGACGAACUGCCCG
Molecule: unclassified non-coding RNA, 212 nt
Filed under: Hevea brasiliensis (rubber tree)
Lineage: Eukaryota; Viridiplantae; Streptophyta; Magnoliopsida; Malpighiales; Euphorbiaceae
Source: RNAcentral